Non-coding RNA from Pantherophis guttatus, 908 nucleotides. The record is from RefSeq and is a predicted model, not a curated record. Lineage: Eukaryota; Metazoa; Chordata; Lepidosauria; Squamata; Colubridae.
AGAGCCAUUGUUGAUUUGAAGCAAUGUAUCAGGGGCAGGUCUGGAAGCAACAGCUCACAUACGUUGCCAAUAAACCAGUAGACCACGGGUAUUAGAAAAGGCUGUUCGCAAUCAUUCUUCUGCCUAAUGUCAGCGGUGUAUUUCGAAGAGAUGCAGAGAAAACUUGGGUCAUCUUACAGUAACCAGUAGUGGUCUUGGAAUUGAAGAAAAAGGAAAAUGGCUAGCAAGUAAAAUUGGGGCUAGGCCUUCUUGAGAUGCUGAAAAGAUACAGUUCCAGAGUGAUUCGGGGUCAUUGAAGAGAAGACAAUGUGGAUUCUGUCCACCCAACAGAGAUUUUCAGAGGGAGAAGGGACCAGAAAGAAGAUUAUUGUUCUGCUUCUGCUAAUAUGACAAAAUGUCUAAUUAUGACUAAAUCCCUGUAAGAAUUAUUCAUGGAAACAUGAAUAAACAAGCUAAUAAUAGACUUGAAACAGGAUGAGAAAAUAUCUAGAACAAACUUUUCUUCAUAUGAAUAAUAAAGGUAAAAAAAGGAACAGCCUGAAUCUGGUCCAGAAAGUGGUGUCCAAAGAGUUGGACUUCUGAAAGGGAAAAAAAAAAUCUUAUAUACAUGAUAAAUCUCUAAUGAGAAUGGAGAGGUUAACGUGGCGGAAACCAUGACAGAAAGAUGACAACAUCACUACUGAUGUAGACCAUGAAGUCUUCAUUGAUUGGCAUUCCAGCUUUAGUCAUUAUUCAUUGUGUCAUUGUGUUUAAAUUAUUGUCCAGCUUUGUUUGAACACAUCCAAUGAACAGAGGCACACGGCUUCUCCAUAUAGUUGAUUACACUAAUAAGCAGCCCUUAUUGUUAAUGUGUUUUUCCUAGCAUUGCAGAUUCUGCUUUCCUGUAAAGUAAAAUAAUUUUCAAGGUU